Molecule: long non-coding RNA, 676 nt
Organism: Amphibalanus amphitrite
Lineage: Eukaryota; Metazoa; Arthropoda; Thecostraca; Balanomorpha; Balanidae
Exons: 2
Source: RefSeq, a predicted model, not a curated record
AUGUGUGUUUUCUCAAGAGAGAGUCACUUGUGUUGGAGAGAUAAGACGCUGUCGGCGGACGUCGCCUUUUUGUGGCUGCACAGAGCUUGGUUACUCUCGAACGGCUCCCACAUGGGUACGGUCGUCCAGUGAGGGUCGUUUGGCAGAGGGGUGAUCGGUAGAGUUUUCUCCGGUUUUCCACGCGUCAUCGCUCCGCCAUGAACCUCCUCUUCACGCUACUCCUUCUAGCCGUGGCAGCCACCGCACCAAGUCACUGCAGCUGUCCCUCUGAACAAUGGAUCGCCUACCACAGCUUCUGCUACCUUCUCAUCGACUACGAGUGGACCUGGGACGACGCCCAAGACGCGUGUCAAACCCUGCACCCGGGCGCCACGCACGCAUCUACUCACGACGAGGAACAGAACACCUUCCUUGCGGAAAACGUGGCAGAUUCGCAUAGGGUUUGGCUGGGCCUUCGUCAGCCCAUUCCACACUACGAUUGGUACUGGGAUGACAGCUCCGAUGUGGACUUCACCUCGUGGGAUACGUAUGAGCCGCGCGCGGGUCCGAUGUCGAGCUGUGCGGUCCUAAACUCGGUUCACACCGGUAAAUGGGCCUCGGAGGAUUGUACUGCCUAUCACAGUCGUUCCAUCUGUCAGAUCAAACUCUGAUGGGGGCGUAAGGGCCGAUAGAAAAG